This 254-nucleotide ribosomal RNA is filed under the name uncultured bacterium. RNAcentral describes it as "partial 16S ribosomal RNA". It matches the Rfam family "Bacterial small subunit ribosomal RNA", at positions 524 to 776 of the family's 1533-position model. The record is from RNAcentral.
UACAGAGGGUGCGAGCGUUGCUCGGAAUUAUUGGGCGUAAAGGGUAGGUAGGUGGUCUUAUUUGUCCAUAGGUGAAAGCCUUGAGCUCAACUCAAGAAGUGCCUUGGAAACGGUGAGACUAGAGUCCUGGAGAGGGUCGUGGAAUUCCCGGUGUAGCGGUGAAAUGCGUAGAGAUCGGGAGGAACACCAGAGGCGAAGGCGGCGACCUGGACAGGCACUGACACUCAACUACGAAAGCGUGGGGAGCAAACAGG